GAUGAAGAACGCAGCGAAAUGCGAUAAGUAAUGUGAAUUGCAGAUUUCAGUGAAUCAUCGAAUCUUUGAACGCACCUUGCGCCUUGUGGUAUUCCACAAGGCAUGCCCGUUUGAGUAUCAUUAAAUCAUCAACUCUAAAACCUUUGUGGUUUUUUUAGAGCUUGGUCUUGAGGGUUUUUUGCAGGCUUUUUUUUCGAGUCUGCUCCCUUUAAAUGCAUUAGCGAGACUUCCCUAUGCUGAACCGUCUCUUUGACGUGAUAAUUAUCUGCGUCGAAUUUUGGUUCUCGUUGGGCUUGCUUCUAAUCGUCUGUUAAAGACAAAACGGAUUUGGGUGCAUAUAUGCGCCUUUUUCCAAAACCUUUUUUGAUCUCAAAUCGGGUAGGACUACCCGCUGAACUUAAGCAUAUCAAUAAGCGGAGGA
RNAcentral lists this unclassified non-coding RNA (421 nucleotides) under soil metagenome. Its description in RNAcentral is "partial contains 5.8S ribosomal RNA, internal transcribed spacer 2, and large subunit ribosomal RNA". The stretch from base 1 to 120 matches the Rfam family "5.8S ribosomal RNA", at positions 35 to 154 of the family's 154-position model. The record is from RNAcentral.